This 69-nucleotide transfer RNA is filed under the name Yuukianura szeptyckii. RNAcentral describes it as "tRNA-Ser". Lineage: Eukaryota; Metazoa; Arthropoda; Collembola; Poduromorpha; Neanuridae. The record is from RNAcentral.
GAAAAAAGAUGUCCAUACUUAAGCUGCUAACUUUUAGUAUAAGUGGUUAAAUUCCAUUUUUCUUUCCCC